This 621-nucleotide ribosomal RNA is filed under the name uncultured Actinomycetes bacterium. RNAcentral describes it as "bacterial SSU rRNA". It matches the Rfam family "Bacterial small subunit ribosomal RNA", at positions 556 to 1174 of the family's 1533-position model. Lineage: Bacteria; Bacillati; Actinomycetota; Actinomycetes. The record is from RNAcentral.
GGGCGUAAGGGCUCGUAGGUGGUUGAUCGCGUCGGAAGUGUAAUCUUGGGGCUUAACCCUGAGCGUGCUUUCGAUACGGGUUGACUUGAGGAAGGUAGGGGAGAAUGGAAUUCCUGGUGGAGCGGUGGAAUGCGCAGAUAUCAGGAGGAACACCAGUGGCGAAGGCGGUUCUCUGGGCCUUUCCUGACGCUGAGGAGCGAAAGCGUGGGGAGCGAACAGGCUUAGAUACCCUGGUAGUCCACGCUGUGAACGGCGGGUACUAGGUGUGGGGUCCAUUCCACGGGUUCCGUGCCGUAGCUAACGCUUUAAGUACCCCGCCUGGGGAGUACGGCCGCAAGGCUAAAACUCAAAGGAAUUGACGGGGCCCCGCACAAGCGGCGGAGCAUGCGGAUUAAUUCGAUGCAACGCGUAGAACCUUACCUGGGUUUGACAUGGAUCGGGAGCGCUCAGAGAUGGGUGUGCCUCUUUUGGGGUCGGUUCACAGGUGGUGCAUGGCUGUCGUCAGCUCGUGUCGUGAGAUGUUGGGUUAAGUCCCGCAACGAGCGCAACCCUUGUUCACUGUUGCCAGCACGUUAUGGUGGGGACUCAGUGGAGACCGCCGGGGUCAACUCGGAGGAAGGU